Molecule: ribosomal RNA, 398 nt
Filed under: uncultured bacterium
Lineage: Bacteria
Description: partial 16S ribosomal RNA
Rfam family: Bacterial small subunit ribosomal RNA
Source: RNAcentral
AUACGUAGGGUGCGAGCGUUGUCCGGAAUUACUGGGCGUAAAGAGCUCGUAGGUGGCUUGUCGCGUCGUCUGUGAACUUCCGGGGCUUAACUCCGGGCGUGCAGGCGAUACGGGCAUAACUGGAGUACUGUAGGGGAGACUGGAAUUCCUGGUGUAGCGGUGAAAGGCGCAGAUAUCAGGAGGAACACCGGUGGCGAAGGCGGGUCUCUGGGCAGUAACUGACGCUGAGGAGCGAAAGCAUGGGUAGCGAACAGGAUUAGAUACCCUGGUAGUCCAUGCCGUAAACGGUGGGCGCUAGGUGUAGGGGUCUUCCACGACUUCUGUGCCGUAGCUAACGCAUUAAGCGCCCCGCCUGGGGAGUACGGCCGCAAGGCUAAAACUCAAAUGAAUUGACGGGG